RNAcentral lists this microRNA precursor (93 nucleotides) under Prunus persica (peach). RNAcentral describes it as "miR2111d stem-loop (ppe-MIR2111d)". Lineage: Eukaryota; Viridiplantae; Streptophyta; Magnoliopsida; Rosales; Rosaceae. The record is from miRBase by way of RNAcentral.
GGUUAGGAUCGGGUAAUCUGCAUCCUGAGGUUUAGAUCAGCACAUAUACUUGUUGUAUCUGGUCCUUGGGGUGCGGAUUACCUCGUCCUCACC